AUGCAUCUCUGAUAGACCUGGAGCAGUUAAUGUCUGCUGCUAAGAUUUCCACUACAGAUGGAAGAUAAAGAAGGUUCUCGCACUUUCUGCCUGUCAGGUUGUGGCAGGCAAGAUUGAAUGGGGGAAUUCAGGA
Molecule: small nucleolar RNA, 133 nt
Filed under: Dasypus novemcinctus (nine-banded armadillo)
Lineage: Eukaryota; Metazoa; Chordata; Mammalia; Cingulata; Dasypodidae
Description: Small nucleolar RNA SNORA31 (ENSDNOG00000038666.1)
Rfam family: Small nucleolar RNA SNORA31
About the family: ACA31 (SNORA31) belongs to the H/ACA class of snoRNAs which are thought to guide the sites of modification of uridines to pseudouridines. ACA31 is predicted to guide the pseudouridylation of U3713 in 28S rRNA and U218 in 18S rRNA.
Source: RNAcentral